AGAGUUUGAUCAUGGCUCAGAAUGAACGCUGGCGGCGUGCUUAACACAUGCAAGUCGAACGAUGAAGCCUAGCUUGCUAGGUGGAUUAGUGGCGCACGGGUGAGUAAUAUAUAGAUAACGUGCCUCUUAGUCUGGGAUAGCCAUUGGAAACGAUGAUUAAUACUAGAUACUCCUUCUCCUUCUAAUUGGAGUUGGGAAAGUUUUUCGCUAAGAGAUCGGUCUAUAUCCCAUCAGCUUGUUGGUAGUGUAAGAGACUACCAAGGCUAUGACGGGUAGCGGGUUUGAGAGGAUGAUCCGCCACACUGGUACUGAGACACGGACCAGACUCCUACGGGAGGCAGCAGCGAGGAAUAUUGCACAAUGGAGGAAACUCUGAUGCAGCAACGCCGCGUGGAGGAUGACGCAUUUCGGUGUGUAAACUCCUUUUAUAUGUCAAGAAAAUGACGGUAGCAUAUGAAUAAGCACCGGCUAACUCCGUGCCAGCAGCCGCGGUAAUACGGAGGGUGCAAGCGUUAUUCGGAAUCACUGGGCGUAAAGGACGCGUAGGCGGGAUGCCAAGUCUGAUGUGAAAUCCUAUGGCUCAACCAUAGAACUGCAUUGGAAACUGGUAACCUAGAGUAUGGGAGGGGGAGAUGGAGUUAGUGGUGUAGGGGUAAAAUCCGUAGAUAUCACUAGGAAUACCGAAAGCGAAGGCGAUCUCCUGGAACAAUACUGACGCUAAGGCGUGAAAGCGUGGGGAGCAAACGGGAUUAGAUACCCCGGUAGUCCACGCCCUAAACGAUGAACACCAGUCGUCGGAAUGCUAGUCAUUUCGGUGAUGCACUUAACAGAUUAAG
This 836-nucleotide ribosomal RNA is filed under the name bacterium endosymbiont of Osedax mucofloris. RNAcentral describes it as "bacterial SSU rRNA". It matches the Rfam family "Bacterial small subunit ribosomal RNA", at positions 8 to 864 of the family's 1533-position model. The record is from RNAcentral.